UACGAAGGGUGCAAACGUUGCUCGGAAUUAUUGGGCGUAAAGCGCACGUAGGCGGCUAUCUAAGUCGGAUGUGAAAUCCCUCGGCUUAACCAAGGAAGUGCACCCGAAACUGGAUAGCUUGAGUACAGAAGAGGAUUGCGGAAUUCCCGGUGUAGAGGUGAAAUUCGUAGAUAUCGGGAGGAACACCAGUGGCGAAGGCGGCGAUCUGGGCUGAUACUGACGCUGAGGUGCGAAAGCGUGGGGAGCAAACAGG
RNAcentral lists this ribosomal RNA (253 nucleotides) under uncultured bacterium. RNAcentral describes it as "partial 16S ribosomal RNA". It matches the Rfam family "Bacterial small subunit ribosomal RNA", at positions 524 to 776 of the family's 1533-position model. The record is from RNAcentral.